RNAcentral lists this ribosomal RNA (572 nucleotides) under uncultured bacterium. RNAcentral's name for it is "bacterial SSU rRNA". It matches the Rfam family "Bacterial small subunit ribosomal RNA", at positions 102 to 694 of the family's 1533-position model. The record is from RNAcentral.
ACGGGUGAGUAACGCGUGGGAAUCCACCUUUUGCUACGGAAUAGCUCCGGGAAACUGGAAUUAAUACCGUAUGUGCCCUUUGACGGUGGACGUUGGAGGGGAAAGAUUUAUCGGCAAAGGAUGAGCCCGCGUUGGAUUAGCUAGUUGGUGGGGUAAAGGCCUACCAAGGCGACGAUCCAUAGCUGGUCUGAGAGGAUGAUCAGCCACAUUGGGGCUGAGACACGGCCCAAACUCCUACGGGAGGCAGCAGUGGGGAAUAUUGGACAAUGGGCGCAAGCCUGAUCCAGCCAUGCCGCGUGUGUGAUGAAGGCCUUAGGGUUGUAAAGCACUUUCACCGGUGAAGAUAAUGACGGUAACCGGAGAAGAAGCCCCGGCUAACUUCGUGCCAGCAGCCGCGGUAAUACGAAGGGGGCUAGCGUUGUUCGGAAUUACUGGGCGUAAAGCGCACGUAGGCGGAUAUUUAAGUCAGGGGUGAAAUCCCAGAGCUCAACUCUGGAACUGCCUUUGAUACUGGGUAUCUUGAGUAUGGAAGAGGUGAGUGGAAUUCCGAGUGUAGAGGUGAAAUUCGUAGA